GUAGGGUCCAAGCGUUAAUCGGAAUUACUGGGCGUAAAGCGUGCGUAGGCGGUCUCGCAAGUCCGAUGUGAAAUCCCCGGGCUUAACCUGGGAACUGCGUUGGAAACUAUGAGGCUCGAGUGUGGCAGAGGGGGGUGGAAUUCCAGGUGUAGCAGUGAAAUGCGUAGAUAUCUGGAGGAACACCGAUGGCGAAGGCAGCCCCCUGGGUCAGCACUGACGCUCAUACACGAAAGCGUGGGGAGCAAACAGGAUUAGAUACCCUGGUAGUCCACGCCCUAAACUAUGGCAACUAGUUGUUGGGGGAUGAACUCCCUUAGUAACGCAGCUAACGCGUGAAGUUGCCCGCCUGGGGAGUACGGUCGCAAGAUUA
RNAcentral lists this ribosomal RNA (370 nucleotides) under uncultured bacterium. RNAcentral's name for it is "bacterial SSU rRNA". It matches the Rfam family "Bacterial small subunit ribosomal RNA", at positions 527 to 896 of the family's 1533-position model. The record is from RNAcentral.